GGGCGAGAUCAACCAUCCAAAAAUAUAGAUUUAAAUAAGCUAAUGAAUAAGAAUAAAGCAAUGUUCCAUUUGAAUCUAAAUACAGCUUUGCUAAUGUCAGAAGCUAAUUGCAGGCCCGUAGAAGAAGGUAAUGAUCUCACACUGAUUGAUGUCACCACCACAUUGAUUGAAGUACAGGCACUGUUCACUAUGAGCACUGCUAUGAAACCUUUACAACAGCGUAUUCAGAUGAAACUGAUCUCUGUCAUACAUCACAAAAUUACAGCAACAUGGAGCAUUUCCUGAACAUGUCAAAGCAUAAAGACGACAUUUUGUCUAUACCUGAUGAGUGCAUAUAGUGUGUGCGUGUGAAGGUCACAAUAAUCAAAACUGGACAAGUUCAAACAAAAGGCACCAAAACUCUGGAGGGUCUUUCUUCACCAAACUGUGCACUAAAUAUUAAAAUAGGAUAAUCACUACUGACAAGCAUAAGCCAUGUCAAAUAUAUUUCCCGGUAAGCACAAGUACGUCACCAAGACACACAUUAUAUUAUAUUUGUGUGCAAAUGUCAGAAAAACAGCAGGUUCAUCUAAAUUUGAAACCAUAAAUGUGUUGCAAAGCAUUAAAAAUAGACUGCUCAUGUUAUAAUCAACACCGCUAACCUAGUUAGAUGUAUCUAUUAUAAUGAUAGCCAUCUAGGUUUGUUGCUUUGGCCGCUUUCAAUACAAACUGGGUGUAUAUCUGACAAGGGAUUUUGUCAACAACAUAUUGCAAACUAGCUAAUGCUUUAAAAAAAAAAACUGUCUAAAUGAAGAUGCAUGCAUUCAAGACGUCUCGGUGACAUACGUGUGCUAUCAGUCAGGGUUGUUACAUUUUUCUAUAUGGCUAAAUCAAAAUACAAUAGAAACCAUGAACAGCAAUCAUUAAGUUAAGCAUAAACAUUAGCAUAAUAAAAAUAUUUUGAUCUAUAUUCACUGCGCAACAUUAAAUCAAACUAAGCCACGUUUCAGCAAAACUUGUGCAUUUCCUUGUGGUUAGUGCAAUAUCAAGCCUUUGCAACUGAGCAUUGCUCCACAACUCGGUUUAAUUCAUUUUCCAAAUACCAGCACUCCAUAAAAGGUAUAAAGUGGGCCAGUUUCAAUGCUUUACACGAUCACAAAAUUCACAUUGUUUCCAAGCACUGAAUUAUUUGAUCAAACUUGUUGAAUAUUACACAUUUAAUAAAAGACACUUAGUAAAUGAAAUGUCUCCUCAUAGAGGACUACUCUUACUGUGUAUCUUUCGACCCUGGUUGAACACAAAGAAAUAUCAACCAACUGUCAAAUGAAUAAGGAUGCCAACAAAGGUUGUGCUUUGUACUGCCAGAUACAAUGAC
Cyprinus carpio carpio is the source of this 1354-nucleotide long non-coding RNA. Lineage: Eukaryota; Metazoa; Chordata; Actinopteri; Cypriniformes; Cyprinidae. The record is from Ensembl.